UUUGGGAUUGUUGAAGAAAGUUGACCUCUCGUUAACCUUUCACAAUCAAUCUGGCUGCAGUUCCGCUUUCCCUUUGACCACGGAUGUACUGGCACUGUUGCGAAGGCGGAUGACGAAAGGCCGGAUCGUUCCGGCCUUUUUGUUU
Rhizobium freirei PRF 81 is the source of this 145-nucleotide non-coding RNA. NCBI's taxonomy places the organism in Bacteria, Pseudomonadati, Pseudomonadota, Alphaproteobacteria, Hyphomicrobiales, Rhizobiaceae. The record is from Rfam.